CCUACGGGGAGCAGCAGUGAGGAAUAUUGGUCAAUGGACGCAAGUCUGAACCAGCCAUGCCGCGUGCAGGAAGACGGCUCUAUGAGUUGUAAACUGCUUUUGUACGAGGGUAAACGCAGAUACGCGUAUCUGUCUGAAAGUAUCGUACGAAUAAGGAUCGGCUAACUCCGUGCCAGCAGCCGCGGUAAUACGGAGGAUUCAAGCGUUAUCCGGAUUUAUUGGGUUUAAAGGGAGCGUAGGCGGUAGGAUAAGUUAGAGGUGAAAUCCCGAGGCUCAACUUCGGAAUUGCCUCUGAUACUGUUCGUCUAGAGAGUAGUUGCGGUAGGCGGAAUGUAUGGUGUAGCGGUGAAAUGCUUAGAGAUCAUACAGAACACCGAUUGCGAAGGCAGCUUACCAAGCUACUUCUGACGUUGAGGCACGAAAGCGUGGGGAGCAAACAGGAUUAGAUACCCCAGUAGUC
This 460-nucleotide ribosomal RNA is filed under the name uncultured bacterium. RNAcentral's name for it is "partial 16S ribosomal RNA". It matches the Rfam family "Bacterial small subunit ribosomal RNA", at positions 338 to 795 of the family's 1533-position model. The record is from RNAcentral.